This 711-nucleotide ribosomal RNA is filed under the name Thalassospira sp. RNAcentral describes it as "bacterial SSU rRNA". It matches the Rfam family "Bacterial small subunit ribosomal RNA", at positions 35 to 786 of the family's 1533-position model. The record is from RNAcentral. Lineage: Bacteria; Pseudomonadati; Pseudomonadota; Alphaproteobacteria; Rhodospirillales; Thalassospiraceae.
GCAAUGCGGCAGCUACCAUGCAGUCGUACGAGAAGGUUCCUUCGGGAACUGGAGAGUGGCGCACGGGUGAGUAACGCGUGGGGACCUACCUCUUAGUGGGGGAUAACGGUUGGAAACGACCGCUAAUACCGCAUACGCCCUUCGGGGGAAAGAUUUAUCGCUAAGAGAUGGACCCGCGUUGGAUUAGAUAGUUGGUGAGGUAACGGCUCACCAAGUCAGCGAUCCAUAGCUGGUUUGAGAGGAUGAUCAGCCACACUGGGACUGAGACACGGCCCAGACUCCUACGGGAGGCAGCAGUGGGGAAUAUUGGACAAUGGGCGCAAGCCUGAUCCAGCCAUGCCGCGUGAGUGAAGAAGGCCUUCGGGUUGUAAAGCUCUUUCAGAUGCGAAGAUGAUGACGGUAACAUCAGAAGAAGCCCCGGCUAAUUUCGUGCCAGCAGCCGCGGUAAUACGAAAGGGGCAAGCGUUGUUCGGAUUUACUGGGCGUAAAGGGCACGCAGGCGGUCCUGCCAGUCAGGGGUGAAAGCCCGGGGCUCAACCCCGGAACUGCCUCUGAUACUGCAGGACUAGAGACUAGGAGAGGGUGGUGGAAUUCCCAGUGUAGAGGUGAAAUUCGUAGAUAUUGGGAGGAACACCAGAGGCGAAGGCGGCCACCUGGACUAGAUCUGACGCUCAGGUGCGAAAGCGUGGGGAGCAAACAGGAUUAGUCUCU